GACGAACGCUGGCGGCGUGCCUAACACAUGCAAGUCGAACGGGGUGAGAUCCUUCGGGGUUUCACUUAGUGGCGAACGGGUGAGUAACGCGUGAGAAACCUGCCUUUCAGUGGGGGACAACAGUUGGAAACGACUGCUAAUACCGCAUAACGUAUUUUAGGGGCAUCCCUUGAAUACCAAAGCUUUAUGUGCUGAAAGAUGGUCUCGCGUCUGAUUAGCUAGAUGGUGGGGUAACGGCCCACCAUGGCGACGAUCAGUAGCCGGUCUGAGAGGAUGAACGGCCACAUUGGGACUGAGAUACGGCCCAGACUCCUACGGGAGGCAGCAGUGGGGAAUAUUGGGCAAUGGGGGAAACCCUGACCCAGCAACGCCGCGUGAAGGAAGAAGGCCCUUCGGGUU
This 399-nucleotide ribosomal RNA is filed under the name uncultured bacterium. Its description in RNAcentral is "bacterial SSU rRNA". It matches the Rfam family "Bacterial small subunit ribosomal RNA", at positions 28 to 424 of the family's 1533-position model. The record is from RNAcentral.